This 471-nucleotide ribosomal RNA is filed under the name uncultured bacterium. RNAcentral's name for it is "bacterial SSU rRNA". It matches the Rfam family "Bacterial small subunit ribosomal RNA", at positions 8 to 526 of the family's 1533-position model. The record is from RNAcentral.
AGGGUUUGAUUAUGGCUCAGGAUGAACGCUGGCGGCGUGCUUAACACAUGCAAGUCGAACGAACCUUCGGGUUAGUGGCGGACGGGUGAGUAACGCGUGAGAGUCUGCCCUCAGGAGGGGGAUAACGGUUGGAAACGACCGCUAAUACCCCAUAUGCCUACUGGUGAAAUGAAUUUCGCCUGAGGAUGAGCUCGCGCCUGAUUAGCUAGUUGGUGAGGUAAUGGCUCACCAAGGCUUCGAUCAGUAGCUGGUCUGAGAGGAUGAUCAGCCACACUGGGACUGAGACACGGCCCAGACUCCUACGGGAGGCAGCAGUGGGGAAUUUUCCGCAAUGGGCGAAAGCCUGACGGAGCAACGCCGCGUGAGGGACGAAGGCCUCUGGGCUGUAAACCUCUUUUCUCAAGGAAGAAGAUAUGACGGUACUUGAGGAAUAAGCCACGGCUAAUUCCGUGCCAGCCGCCGCGGUAAUAC